This 253-nucleotide ribosomal RNA is filed under the name uncultured bacterium. Its description in RNAcentral is "partial 16S ribosomal RNA". It matches the Rfam family "Bacterial small subunit ribosomal RNA", at positions 524 to 776 of the family's 1533-position model. The record is from RNAcentral.
UACGAAGGGGGCAAGCGUUGUUCGGAAUGACUGGGCGUAAAGGGCGCGUAGGUGGUUUGAUGCAUGCGAUGUGAAAGUCUUGGGCUUAACCUGAGGAUGUCAUCGCACAUGGUCAGACUAGAGUAUGAGAGAGGAGUAUGGAAUUGUGCGUGUAGAGGUGAAAUUCGUAGAUAUGCACAAGAACACCAAAGGCGAAGGCAAUACUCUGGCUCAUAACUGACACUGAGGCGCGAAAGCGUGGGGAGCAAACAGG